CCUUCGAUAGCUCAGUUGGUAGAGCGGUGGACUGUAGUACGACAUUUGCAGUUGCAGCAGUUGUUGGGGUCGAUGUUCAUUAAUCGAUCACCGAUCAGUCUUCCUCCAGCAGCAACUUCAAAGCAAUAGCUAUCCAUAGGUCACUGGUUCAAAUCCGGUUCGAAGGA
This 167-nucleotide transfer RNA is filed under the name Anopheles darlingi. Its description in RNAcentral is "tRNA Tyrosine". It matches the Rfam family "tRNA". Rfam says of the family: Transfer RNA (tRNA) molecules are approximately 80 nucleotides in length. Their secondary structure includes four short double-helical elements and three loops (D, anti-codon, and T loops). The record is from Rfam by way of RNAcentral. Lineage: Eukaryota; Metazoa; Arthropoda; Insecta; Diptera; Culicidae.